Molecule: long non-coding RNA, 725 nt
Filed under: Suricata suricatta (meerkat)
Lineage: Eukaryota; Metazoa; Chordata; Mammalia; Carnivora; Herpestidae
Description: lncRNA (ENSSSUG00005006458.1)
Source: RNAcentral
UACUUGAUCAAUGAAGUGUGAAAUAUGAGAAGUGGGGAAGAAAUGCAUUGUGUGGAGAUCUUGGUCCUGGACAGCCUCAUCUGCUGGGCAGAGGACAGCCUCAUCUGCUGGCCAAGGUCUUCAUUGACCAAGGUGGUGCUGGCCAGAGUGCACGCAUCUGGACCCAACUUAAUUUUCAAAUGUGGACUCCUAGGCUUUCACUGGUAAGUUUGUUUGAUGCCUUCUUACCAAAUUAUGCUGUUGAGGAUUGCUAUUUGGAAUAAAGGGCAAGAAAGUUAUCAUUGGCACAGCUCUGUGGAGAUUACCAAGUCUAGACUCUAGAGAAGCCUGUAGUAUAGGCAGAAGGGAGCCACAAGAGAAGUGAAAUUUCACUGUAGGUUUAUGAAGUAGAUGCCAAGAGGAGGAGGUCAGAGGAGGGGCAUCCAGAGAGUUUAGGGGUAGACACACCCAGGCUCAUGGCAGGGCAAGCUGUGGCUGUGUUUUGAAGGAAAAAUCCAGAGAAGAGUGAAAUAAGAUUUUUGGGUUUGAGAAAGCAAGUAUUUAAAGAUAUAGAGAGGGGCACCUGGGUGACUCAUUCGGUUAAACAUCCGACUUCAGCUCAGGUCAUGAUCUCACGGUUUGUGGGUUUGAGCCCCGCAUCGGGCUCUGUGCUGACAGCUCAGAGCCUGGAGCCUGCUUCAGAUUCUGUGUCUCCCUCUCUCUCUGACCCUCCCCCACUCAUGCUC